AGCAGUCGCGGUAAUUCCAGCUCCAAUAGCGUAUAUUAAAGUUGUUGCAGUUAAAAGCUCGUAGUUGAAUUUCGGGGUUAGUAGGUUGGUCAUGCCUCCGGUAUGUACUGGUCUCACUGAUUCCUCCUUCCUGAUGAGCCGUAAUGCCAUUAAUUUGGUGUUGCGGGGAAUUUGGA
Molecule: unclassified non-coding RNA, 176 nt
Filed under: uncultured Glomus
Lineage: Eukaryota; Fungi; Glomeromycota; Glomeromycetes; Glomerales; Glomeraceae
Description: sequence contains 18S rRNA gene
Rfam family: Eukaryotic small subunit ribosomal RNA
Source: RNAcentral